GGGUUGUGAGGUUAAGCGACUAAGCGUACACGGUGGAUGCCCUGGCAGUCAGAGGCGAUGAAGGACGUGCUAAUCUGCGAUAAGCGUCGGUAAGGUGAUAUGAACCGUUAUAACCGGCGAUUUCCGAAUGGGGAAACCCAGUGUGUUUCGACACACUAUCAUUAACUGAAUCCAUAGGUUAAUGAGGCGAACCGGGGGAACUGAAACAUCUAAGUACCCCGAGGAAAAGAAAUCAACCGAGAUUCCCCCAGUAGCGGCGAGCGAACGGGGAGGAGCCCAGAGCCUGAAUCAGUGUGUGUGUUAGUGGAAGCGUCUGGAAAGGCGCGCGAUACAGGGUGACAGCCCCGUACACAAAAAUGCACAUGCUGUGAGCUCGAUGAGUAGGGCGGGACACGUGGUAUCCUGUCUGAAUAUGGGGGGACCAUCCUCCAAGGCUAAAUACUCCUGACUGACCGAUAGUGAACCAGUACCGUGAGGGAAAGGCGAAAAGAACCCCGGCGAGGGGAGUGAAAAAGAACCUGAAACCGUGUACGUACAAGCAGUGGGAGCACGCUUAGGCGUGUGACUGCGUACCUUUUGUAUAAUGGGUCAGCGACUUAUAUUCUGUAGCAAGGUUAACCGAAUAGGGGAGCCGAAGGGAAACCGAGUCUUAACUGGGCGUUAAGUUGCAGGGUAUAGACCCGAAACCCGGUGAUCUAGCCAUGGGCAGGUUGAAGGUUGGGUAACACUAACUGGAGGACCGAACCGACUAAUGUUGAAAAAUUAGCGGAUGACUUGUGGCUGGGGGUGAAAGGCCAAUCAAACCGGGAGAUAGCUGGUUCUCCCCGAAAGCUAUUUAGGUAGCGCCUCGUGAACUCAUCUCCGGGGGUAGAGCACUGUUUCGGCAAGGGGGUCAUCCCGACUUACCAACCCGAUGCAAACUGCGAAUACCGGAGAAUGUUAUCACGGGAGACACACGGCGGGUGCUAACGUCCGUCGUGAAGAGGGAAACAACCCAGACCGCCAGCUAAGGUCCCAAAGUCAUGGUUAAGUGGGAAACGAUGUGGGAAGGCCCAGACAGCCAGGAUGUUGGCUUAGAAGCAGCCAUCAUUUAAAGAAAGCGUAAUAGCUCACUGGUCGAGUCGGCCUGCGCGGAAGAUGUAACGGGGCUAAACCAUGCACCGAAGCUGCGGCAGCGACGCUUAUGCGUUGUUGGGUAGGGGAGCGUUCUGUAAGCCUGUGAAGGUGUGCUGUGAGGCAUGCUGGAGGUAUCAGAAGUGCGAAUGCUGACAUAAGUAACGAUAAAGCGGGUGAAAAGCCCGCUCGCCGGAAGACCAAGGGUUCCUGUCCAACGUUAAUCGGGGCAGGGUGAGUCGACCCCUAAGGCGAGGCCGAAAGGCGUAGUCGAUGGGAAACAGGUUAAUAUUCCUGUACUUGGUGUUACUGCGAAGGGGGGACGGAGAAGGCUAUGUUGGCCGGGCGACGGUUGUCCCGGUUUAAGCGUGUAGGCUGGUUUUCCAGGCAAAUCCGGAAAAUCAAGGCUGAGGCGUGAUGACGAGGCACUACGGUGCUGAAGCAACAAAUGCCCUGCUUCCAGGAAAAGCCUCUAAGCAUCAGGUAACAUCAAAUCGUACCCCAAACCGACACAGGUGGUCAGGUAGAGAAUACCAAGGCGCUUGAGAGAACUCGGGUGAAGGAACUAGGCAAAAUGGUGCCGUAACUUCGGGAGAAGGCACGCUGAUAUGUAGGUGAGGUCCCUCGCGGAUGGAGCUGAAAUCAGUCGAAGAUACCAGCUGGCUGCAACUGUUUAUUAAAAACACAGCACUGUGCAAACACGAAAGUGGACGUAUACGGUGUGACGCCUGCCCGGUGCCGGAAGGUUAAUUGAUGGGGUUAGCGGUAACGCGAAGCUCUUGAUCGAAGCCCCGGUAAACGGCGGCCGUAACUAUAACGGUCCUAAGGUAGCGAAAUUCCUUGUCGGGUAAGUUCCGACCUGCACGAAUGGCGUAAUGAUGGCCAGGCUGUCUCCACCCGAGACUCAGUGAAAUUGAACUCGCUGUGAAGAUGCAGUGUACCCGCGGCAAGACGGAAAGACCCCGUGAACCUUUACUAUAGCUUGACACUGAACAUUGAGCCUUGAUGUGUAGGAUAGGUGGGAGGCUUAGAAGUGUGGACGCCAGUCUGCAUGGAGCCGACCUUGAAAUACCACCCUUUAAUGUUUGAUGUUCUAACGUUGACCCGUAAUCCGGGUUGCGGACAGUGUCUGGUGGGUAGUUUGACUGGGGCGGUCUCCUCCUAAAGAGUAACGGAGGAGCACGAAGGUUGGCUAAUCCUGGUCGGACAUCAGGAGGUUAGUGCAAUGGCAUAAGCCAGCUUGACUGCGAGCGUGACGGCGCGAGCAGGUGCGAAAGCAGGUCAUAGUGAUCCGGUGGUUCUGAAUGGAAGGGCCAUCGCUCAACGGAUAAAAGGUACUCCGGGGAUAACAGGCUGAUACCGCCCAAGAGUUCAUAUCGACGGCGGUGUUUGGCACCUCGAUGUCGGCUCAUCACAUCCUGGGGCUGAAGUAGGUCCCAAGGGUAUGGCUGUUCGCCAUUUAAAGUGGUACGCGAGCUGGGUUUAGAACGUCGUGAGACAGUUCGGUCCCUAUCUGCCGUGGGCGCUGGAGAACUGAGGGGGGCUGCUCCUAGUACGAGAGGACCGGAGUGGACGCAUCACUGGUGUUCGGGUUGUCAUGCCAAUGGCACUGCCCGGUAGCUAAAUGCGGAAGAGAUAAGUGCUGAAAGCAUCUAAGCACGAAACUUGCCCCGAGAUGAGUUCUCCCUGACUCCUUGAGAGUCCUGAAGGAACGUUGAAGACGACGACGUUGAUAGGCCGGGUGUGUAAGCGCAGCGAUGCGUUGAGCUAACCGGUACUAAUGAACCGUGAGGCUUAACCUUACAACGCCGAAG
RNAcentral lists this ribosomal RNA (2927 nucleotides) under Escherichia coli. RNAcentral describes it as "bacterial LSU rRNA". It matches the Rfam family "Bacterial large subunit ribosomal RNA". The record is from RNAcentral. Lineage: Bacteria; Pseudomonadati; Pseudomonadota; Gammaproteobacteria; Enterobacterales; Enterobacteriaceae.